Molecule: long non-coding RNA, 837 nt
Filed under: Equus asinus (donkey)
Lineage: Eukaryota; Metazoa; Chordata; Mammalia; Perissodactyla; Equidae
Description: lncRNA (ENSEASG00005032360.1)
Source: RNAcentral
GUGAAAACAUUCUUCUGGAGCAAGAUUCUUCUCCAAACUCUGUCAGAGAGAAUGAGUUUCUUCCAGACUUGGAGCUGGAGGAUCAUUACCAUCUCCAGCUAUCGGAACAACAGCCAACCUGAGGAACUUUGAGAACAAGGACACAAGUCCUAGCUAUCCGCUGUCCAACUGGGAGACAGUCUUUCCACCUAUUAAUACACUUUCUGUGAGCCAAAUGUGACAUUAGACUGUCUCCCUGCGCACAACGGGGCUCCUUGAAAACGGAAUUCACAGCCCACUCAGCAGGUCCCCUCUGCUCUCUGCUUGGCAUCUUGCUGCUCCCCUUCUUCAGCCCCACCUAGUAACCACCUGUUCUCCCCUUCUUCUUCCUGUUCCCCAUCUUGAAAAGAUGCAAGGCAACCAAACAGAGCAAAGGUCUCCACAAACAAGGCCUAAGACCACAGACGGCCAGCCCUUCUCUAGCCCUGAUAAGCCAGCCCAGUCCUGAAUGCUAAGGUUCAUCGAUACUCACAUGCUGACGGAAAUCGUUUAGAUUCAGUUCUUUCACUUCACGGUUUAUUUUUAGUUCUCAUACAACUGAAGUCAUCAAAUUCAUUACGUGCGGACCUUCAAAUUCAUAUUUUAAAAGAAAAUCAGAUGGGAAAGGGGCUGUGAACUUCACUUAGUGCUAGGAGUUACAGUGAAAAGUAAUCUUUCAGCUGACCUCUGCAGGAUGAGGGAGAACUCACCGAGGUCAACCCAGUGAAUCUGAAGCACAGACAGUGAGGGCAAAAGGGGCACAAGACCCGGCCGAAGAAGCAGAGAGGAUUCUAGACCAGGCAGACUCUUCAAGGCCAG